Molecule: ribosomal RNA, 253 nt
Filed under: uncultured bacterium
Lineage: Bacteria
Description: partial 16S ribosomal RNA
Rfam family: Bacterial small subunit ribosomal RNA
Source: RNAcentral
UACGGAGGGGGCUAGCGUUGUUCGGAAUUACUGGGCGUAAAGCGCACGUAGGCGGAUUGCUAAGUCAGGGGUGAAAUCCUGGAGCUCAACUCCAGAACUGCCUUUGAUACUGGCGACCUUGAGUCCGGGAGAGGUGAGUGGAACUGCGAGUGUAGAGGUGAAAUUCGUAGAUAUUCGCAAGAACACCAGUGGCGAAGGCGGCUCACUGGCCCGAUACUGACGCUGAGGUGCGAAAGCGUGGGGAGCAAACAGG